UGGCAGAGAGGUCACACCCGUUCCCAUACCGAACACGGAAGUUAAGCUCUCUAGCGCCGAUGGUAGUUGGGACCUUGUCCCUGUGAGAGUAGGACGUCGCCAAGC
Molecule: ribosomal RNA, 105 nt
Filed under: Bacillus anthracis (anthrax bacterium)
Lineage: Bacteria; Bacillati; Bacillota; Bacilli; Caryophanales; Bacillaceae
Also listed under: 77 other names
Source: RNAcentral